AGUGAACGCUGGCGGUAGGCCUAGCACAUGCAAGUCGAACGGCAGCACAGUAAGAGCUUGCUCUUACGGGAGGCGAGUGGCGGACGGGUGAGGAAUACAUCGGAAUCUACUUUUUCGUGGGGGAUAACGUAGGGAAACUUACGCUAAUACCGCAUACGACCUACGGGUGAAAGCAGGGGAUCUUCGGACCUUGCGCGAUUGAAUGAGCCGAUGUCGGAUUAGCUAGUUGGCGGGGUAAAGGCCCACCAAGGCGACGAUCCGUAGCUGGUCUGAGAGGAUGAUCAGCCACACUGGAACUGAGACACGGUCCAGACUCCUACGGGAGGCAGCAGUGGGGAAUAUUGGACAAUGGGCGCAAGCCUGAUCCAGCCAUACCGCGUGGGUGAAGAAGGCCUUCGGGUUGUAAAGCCCUUUUGUUGGGAAAGAAAAGCAGCAGGUUAAUACCCCGCUGUUCUGACGGUACCCAAAGAAUAAGCACCGGCUAACUUCGUG
RNAcentral lists this ribosomal RNA (492 nucleotides) under uncultured bacterium. Its description in RNAcentral is "partial 16S ribosomal RNA". It matches the Rfam family "Bacterial small subunit ribosomal RNA", at positions 29 to 507 of the family's 1533-position model. The record is from RNAcentral.